GAUGAACGCUGGCGGCGUGCCUAAUACAUGCAAGUCGAGCGAACGGACGAGAAGCUUGCUUCUCUGAUGUUAGCGGCGGACGGGUGAGUAACACGUGGAUAACCUACCUAUAAGACUGGGAUAACUUCGGGAAACCGGAUCUAAUACCGGAUGAUAUUUUGAACCGCAUGGUUCAAAAGUGAAAGACGGUCUUGCUGUCACUUAUAGAUUGAUCCGCGCUGCAUUAGCUAGUUGGUAAGGUAACGGCUUACCAAGGCAACGAUGCAUAGCCGACCUGAGAGGGGGAUCGGCCACACUGGAACUGAGACACGGUCCAGACUCCUACGGGAGGCAGCAGUAGGGAAUCUUCCGCAAUGGGCGAAAGCCUGACGGAGCAACGCCGCGGGAGUGAUGAAGGUCUUCGGAUCGUAAAACUCUGUUAUUAGGGAAGAACAUAUGUGUAAGUAACUGUGCACAUCUUGACGGUACCUAAGCAGAAAGCCACGGCUAACUACGU
This 496-nucleotide ribosomal RNA is filed under the name uncultured bacterium. RNAcentral's name for it is "partial 16S ribosomal RNA". It matches the Rfam family "Bacterial small subunit ribosomal RNA", at positions 28 to 506 of the family's 1533-position model. The record is from RNAcentral.